This 336-nucleotide unclassified non-coding RNA is filed under the name soil metagenome. Its description in RNAcentral is "partial contains 5.8S ribosomal RNA, internal transcribed spacer 2, and large subunit ribosomal RNA". The stretch from base 1 to 120 matches the Rfam family "5.8S ribosomal RNA", at positions 35 to 154 of the family's 154-position model. The record is from RNAcentral.
GAUGAAGAACGCAGCGAAAUGCGAUAAGUAGUGUGAAUUGCAGAAUUCAGUGAAUCAUCGAAUCUUUGAACGCACAUUGCGCCCCUUGGUAUCCCGAGGGGCAUGCCUGUUCGAGCGUCAUUUGUACCUUCAAGCUCUGCUUGGUGUUGGGUGUUUGUCUCGCCUCUGCGUGUAGACUCGCCUCAAAACAAUUGGCAGCCGGCGUAUUGAUUUCGGAGCGCAGUACAUCUCGCGCUUUGCACUCAUAACGACGACGUCCAAAAGUACAUUUUUACACUCUUGACCUCGGAUCAGGUAGGGAUACCCGCUGAACUUAAGCAUAUCAUAAGCGGAGGA